AUCCAGAAACUACUUAAAACUGAAAAUACAUGGAGAAGAUAAAGUCUCCCUUAUUCCCCUUCUCCAUGAAUCGUGUUUAUUAAAAUUAAACCAUCUCCUUUAACUCCCCCCACCAUUUUCUUCUGAUUUUCUUUUUCUUAGAUUUAGAUGUUUUACUCCAUCAAUUUCAUCACAUAUCACUUCAUAUUUCUUCAAAACCCCUGAUAUUUGAAGAAACAUGAAUCAAAUCUGAUUCAAAAUCCAACUCGUAGAGAGAGAGCGAUUGGAAUUGUUUUUUCUGUUUUCAACAUUAAGAUUAUCGUGAUUUUGAUAUAAUUUUGUCAUAAUUGUUUUGACUAUGUAUUAUGCUCUGCUCGAUACUCCUUCAACAAUAAUUUUGGCAUAAUUGUUUUGAUUUCUCAUUAUGCUGGUGCUUGAUGAUAAAAGGGUUAGGUUUUUGUACUCGAUUGAUGUUUGUUCCUUGCAUACCUCUGUAAUUUAAGCUUAUGUGAAUAGGAUGACGAUUUUGGCUAAUUCUAUUUCAUAAAGUCCCUAUGUUAGCAACGCAAGAGUGAACUACUGAUAUUUUACAGUUGGGGUUAAUGAAUUGAUGUUAGUGGAUAAAACUGACAUUAUUUUAGAAUAUCUCAAAAACUCUGGGAUUACUGAAAUCUCAUAGGGUGGAUAAAACUUUCUCAACCUAUUCGGAUUACUGAAAUCUGUGUUGAACUAUUUUUGGUGGAUAUUAGGUCCAGGGAUUUAUGCGGAUGAUGACGAUGAGGCUAAUGAUAAGGAGGGUGGUGGGCUGAGCAAAUCCGGGAAGGAGUUAAAAAAGUUGUUAGGACGUUCAGCUGAAAUGAAUGAUUCAGAUGCACGAUUACGAUGUAAGCUCAUGUAAUUUCACUUUAGAGUACCUAUAUUUCACUUAACCUGCCUGCGUUCUUUUCUGUCAAGAUGUUUGUUCCUUUGUAUUUCCAGAGACCCAUUUCCAAAAGUAUUUUUCGGUAGAUCUUCUUGGUUGAAGUGUUUCGCAGUGUUGACUACUUAUCAUGGUGUAGUUUCUCUUAAGUAGUUUUUGCAGAUUGCUGCAAGAUGAGGGAAUCCACCGCUGUUGUUGAGGUAGGAUGUAACUUCAAGGAUGUCGGAUGGUGCAUAAGGAACAAAUAUCUAUUCUUGCUGGACAGACUGCGAAAGGAGGUAUAAAUUUAUGGAUAAUGUUUAAAGAAAUAGAAACAGUAUAGAUUAUGAAUGAUUGGGGAGGUUCAAAACCUCUUGUGGUUGAAGGGAUACGAUAUUCUAUAGAAGAAAGAAAAGCUCCAUGAUUACGAGUUACAGGUGAUCGCAGUGUAUGUAACCAGGUGAUGAGUACUGUGCUGGUGGUGUUAACUGUGGAUUUUGUUUUUGGCUUAUUUAUAUGUCGUUGAGUUAGAUUCUUCUUUGGUGCAGUCUGAGGGAUUUUAUGAAAGCUCAGCAAGAUAUAGAAGAACAAUGGGAAAAUUGGGUCUAGUAUUCAUAAGAUUUACUGACAAUGUGAAGAUGGUUAUUGUCUAAGAAUAUGAAAUAAUCAAGUGGCUUGGGUGUUGGAUUUUUUAAAGGCCGGCAUCCUUUACUAGAAGAUGUAGAUUUUAUGAUCAAUCCUUCAAAAGUUUCAUCUCUUGUUGAAGAUAUAUCGUCUGAUGAACAAAAGAAGCUUGGGCAUCUGGAUGUUAAAUAUGUUUUGAUUUUUUUUCUUCUGUUGGUUGAAUUUGAGAUUUCUGGUUUCUGAAGUUGUAAGCAUUGGUUAUAAUUGAAUUUAAGUUAAUUUUAAUAAAAGGUUUGAAUUUAUUAAUAAAA
Long non-coding RNA from Papaver somniferum (opium poppy), 1812 nucleotides. RefSeq lists it as uncharacterized. Lineage: Eukaryota; Viridiplantae; Streptophyta; Magnoliopsida; Ranunculales; Papaveraceae. The transcript has 2 exons. The record is from RefSeq and is a predicted model, not a curated record.